Molecule: unclassified non-coding RNA, 200 nt
Filed under: soil metagenome
Description: partial contains internal transcribed spacer 2 and large subunit ribosomal RNA
Source: RNAcentral
CAUCGAUGGCUCACCUCAAAUUGAUUAGCUGGACUUGUCUUGAGGACUGGUUUGACUUGGCGUAAUAAGUAUUUCGCUGAGGACAUCGUAAGAUGGCCAUCCACUUGACCACCGUCCGCUUUCCAACCCUGUUCUUUCUUUGGAAAGACGUUUUUUAUACAUCUGGCCUCAAAUCAGGUAGGACUACCCGCUGAACUUAA